RNAcentral lists this long non-coding RNA (1155 nucleotides) under Sus scrofa (pig). RNAcentral's name for it is "lncRNA (ENSSSCG00060061994.1)". Lineage: Eukaryota; Metazoa; Chordata; Mammalia; Artiodactyla; Suidae. The record is from RNAcentral.
UGUGGAGGAGACCUUGGGGAGUGUGAACGGAUUGAGGACCAGGCGAUCUCUCUCCCAUUUGCUUUUCUGGGUGAUCUCGUGGAGCCUUGUGACUUCACCUGUAGCCUCUGGUCCCCAAGGCCCAGGCCUGAGCUCUCAGCCUUAUGCUCUGCAGGGAUGGGCGGGGCGCUGCACACAGAGGCUCUGGAUGGAGUUCGGGACUCCUGUGGCCUCAGGGAGUGCUUACCAGACGGGGCUGUGAUAUUCCUGCAAGAUUAAGUCUUUUUUUUUUUUUGUUAUUACCAACAUGCAUUUAUUGACAUUUAUUUUUAAUAGAGCAUAGUCGAUUUAUAGUGUUUCUUCAAUUUCUCCUAUAUAGCCAAGGGAUCCAGUCGAACACAGUUCCCUGGCUGUAUAAUAGGACCCUGUUGCCCAUCCAUUCCAAAUGUCGCAGUUGGCCUCCACCAGCCCCAAACUCCUGUCCAUCCCUCUCCCCCCUCCUUCCCCCCCUGGCAACCACAAGUCUGCUCUCUGUGGCCCUGAUUUGUCUCUGUUUUGUAGACAGGUUCAUCUGUGCCCCAUUUUAGAUUCCGCAGAGAAGUGAUAUCAUAUGGUAUUUGCCUUUCUCUUUCUGGCUUAUUUCACUUAGUAAGAAUCUCCAGUUGUAUCCAUGUUACUGCAAUAGCAUUAUUCUGUUUUUACGGCUGAGUAGUAUUCCAUUGUACAUGGGUACCUGGAAACAACCUAAAUGUCCAUUGACAGACAGAUGGAUUAAGAAGAUCAAAUCUUUUUUUUCUUUUUUUUUGCGUCUUUUUAGGGCUGCACCCACGGCAUAUGGAGGUUCCCAGCCUAGGCUCCAAUUGGAGCUGUAGCUGCCAGCCUACACCACAGCCACGGCAAUGCCAGAUCCGAGCUGUGUCUGUGACUUACACCACAGCUCAUGGCAAGAAGAUCAAAUCUUUAAUCCCAAGAAACCCCUCCUCGUUCUUCAGCCUCAGCUGGGCUUGGGCAGCCCAGCUGAGUUUCCCCCUGCCAGCACAGCCCUCCCCCGCCACCCUAGCCUCACGCUACUCUGCUCGGGGCCACCCUGCUUCUGUACCUGGCCAGGACUGGUGCUUUCUUCAAUCAGAGCCACUGAAAAUGGGAAUGAGUCUGUGGAGAGGGGGCUUCCUGUGA